UUCAUGGCUCAGUCAGAAGAGCAUGAGACUCUUACUCUCAAGGUCGUGGAUUUGAGGCCCACAUUGGGCAAAA
Molecule: non-coding RNA, 73 nt
Organism: Podarcis lilfordi (Lilford's wall lizard)
Lineage: Eukaryota; Metazoa; Chordata; Lepidosauria; Squamata; Lacertidae
Source: the annotation of a GenBank genome assembly